This 274-nucleotide ribosomal RNA is filed under the name uncultured bacterium. Its description in RNAcentral is "partial 16S ribosomal RNA". It matches the Rfam family "Bacterial small subunit ribosomal RNA", at positions 523 to 796 of the family's 1533-position model. The record is from RNAcentral.
GUACGGAGGGUGCAAGCGUUACUCGGAAUCACUGGGCGUAAAGCGCGCGCAGGCGGCUAUUUAAGUUGGAUGUGAAAGCCUACGGCUCAACCGUAGAACUGCAUCCAAAACUAUUUAGCUAGAGUGUGGGAGAGGAAGAUGGAAUUAGUUGUGUAGGGGUAAAAUCCGUAGAGAUAACUAGGAAUACCAAAAGCGAAGGCAAUCUUCUGGAACACUACUGACGCUGAGGCGCGAAAGCGUGGGGAGCAAACGGGAUUAGAAACCCUAGUAGUCC